AUAAUCCCCAAACCAGAUCCUUACAUCCCUAUUGGUCAGCGUGAUGGACCCAGUGCUCUGGAUCUUCAUAAAAUCAAUGUCCUGUAUGAUUGCGGUGCCCUGGAAUAACGAUCCAGAGAGCAGAUAUGUCACCAAAAGUAGUUUUCUAAUUAAUCCAAAGCUUUAUCACUACCACAACUACACAGAGAUCGUUAGAUUUAAUUAAACUCUGCCAUCAAGUCACUUGUGCAGACUGAUUAAUAAUUAUUAAACUGUUCAUUUGUAGUUUAGUGAAUUUAUUUCCUAAUCUGAGUAACAUUUUGAUUUGUUAAACCGUAUUUUAAUGUGCACUUUGUUGACCAAGAGUUGUGUUCCAUUAAUAAAGUCAAGUAAGAUUUACCAUAAAAUUGUAACAAGAUUAAAUAAAGACUUGUAUUAAAGAGACUGUGCAGAA
Molecule: long non-coding RNA, 433 nt
Organism: Thalassophryne amazonica
Lineage: Eukaryota; Metazoa; Chordata; Actinopteri; Batrachoidiformes; Batrachoididae
Exons: 2
Source: RefSeq, a predicted model, not a curated record